AACGAACGCUGGCGGCAUGCCUAACACAUGCAAGUCGAACGAGACCUUCGGGUCUAGUGGCGCACGGGUGCGUAACGCGUGGGAACCUGCCCUUAGGUUCGGAAUAACUCCCCGAAAGGGGUGCUAAUACCGGAUAAUGUCUUCGGACCAAAGAUUUAUCGCCUUUGGAUGGGCCCGCGUUGGAUUAGCUAGUUGGUAGGGUAAAAGCCUACCAAGGCGACGAUCCAUAGCUGGUCUGUGAGGAUGAUCAGCCACACUGGGACUGAGACACGGCCCAGACUCCUACGGGAGGCAGCAGUGGGGAAUAUUGGACAAUGGGCGAAAGCAUGAUCCAGCAAUGCCGCGUGAGUGAUGAAGGCCUUAGGGUUGUAAAGCUCUUUUACCCGGGAUGAUAAUGACAGUACCGGGAGAAUAAGCUCCGGCUAACUCCGUG
This 433-nucleotide ribosomal RNA is filed under the name uncultured bacterium. Its description in RNAcentral is "partial 16S ribosomal RNA". It matches the Rfam family "Bacterial small subunit ribosomal RNA", at positions 29 to 507 of the family's 1533-position model. The record is from RNAcentral.